Cricetulus griseus (Chinese hamster) is the source of this 3682-nucleotide non-coding RNA. The record is from RefSeq and is a predicted model, not a curated record. Lineage: Eukaryota; Metazoa; Chordata; Mammalia; Rodentia; Cricetidae.
UUAAGACUAAGCUAGCACAUGAGAAAUCCUAGUCUUUGACCAAGCAGCAUUUGUACCUAAUAUAAGUCUUUGUGUGUUAUUUGGGGCCCUAACUCGGCAAGGAGGACUCAGGCAGCCUGGCAGAAAGAGCCCACGUGGAGGCAGGGCACAGGUGGCUUUGGCAUAAAGCCUUAUUGUUACAACCAUGGACCCAGACAUGGCCAUCAGCAAGAGUUGGUCCCAGUUGUCACAAUGGCCCUGGGGAAGUAGGGCAGGUCUCUCAGACUGGAAUGGGCUAGCUGCCAUAGGGAUACAGUGUUUUUAAUUUUAAGAAGUAAUUUCUUGAGAAAAACUUGUAGUUUAUGAUAUGAAAGCCAUAGCAACUCUUUUUAAAGCAGAUUCAUGUGUCAUCUUUUUGGGGAAUGUUAGCAUGCAUCUCCAGGUUGAGUUUGGUCAGCUUUUUGUUGUUUAGAAUUACUGUUUAACUGAAUUAAGGAUCCGGACACCAACUUGUACCUAUAAUUUUAGCCUUUUAAUGCAUUUGAGUAAAGAAAUAUCCCUCAUAUUUUGUUUUGUUUGUAUUCUAAUAUUUGAACAUUUCUUUAUUUAAUAGACAUCUGUCGGUCAUAUAGCACUUGUGAAGGUCAGAGGAUGACUUGUGAGAGUUGAUUCUCUUCUUCUAUUAUGUGGUUCCCUGGUUAGAAUCCAGGUCACCAAGCUUGGUUGCCAGCACCUUCUCCCACUGAGCCAUCUGGACAUCUCUGUUAUAAUGAAGACUUUCUUCUGCCUCACCAUCUCAGUAACUAGGAACUUCUUCAGAGGUCAGAUGAGAGUGUCAUAUUCCCAAGGAAACAGAGGCAGAAACAGUUGUGAUCCUCCAAAUGGGUGCUGUGAAUUGAACCCAGUUCCUCCAAAAGAGCAACCAGUGCUCUUAACUCUUGAGUUACCUCUGAAGACCCAAAAGUCAUACCCUUAAUUGGAGAAACCUCACUUUGAAUGAUCAUAAAUAAAAAGUACAUUGAUGACACAUUAAGUAAUUUGGAAACUAUUUAAACAUAAACAUUGUCAUAUAUUUCAAAAACAAUUGUUAUUAUUGUAAGGUAAAAUCAUCUCCAAAAAAUUUCAUUUAGCUAUAAAAAUGAUUUUGAAGAAUGAGAAGAAAAUCUCUGAAAAUAAGACUAUUAAGGCUGGAUAGAUGGAUCAACAGUAAAGCAUGGCUGUUUCUAUUACAGAGGAACAGAGUUCAAAUCCUAGCACCUAUAUUCCUUAACCCAGAGCCACAUGGGACUCGAUCUCCAGGGAUCCUAUUCUCUCUUCCAGCUUCCAUAAGUACCAGCAUUCACAUAUACUCAUAAAUACACACACAUGUACACACACACACACACACACACACACACACACACACAAACUGUAUAGUGUUAACAUAUAGUUCAUGUGUAAUAUACACAGCCAAUAUCAAAUAUAUAACAUCAAUAGUGCUAAAUAAAAGAUCAAUAAAAUUCCUAAAAAUAAGUAAACACAAAGUCCAACUUUGAAUUUUCUAGAAAUCCCCAAGUGAAAUUUGCUUCCCACUCUUGUUGACAAUAGGAAGUUUUCACUUUAAAUUAACACACAUAUCAAUCACAGAACCUGUGUGUCAUGUCUUCCUACACAGAUAGAAUAUGGCAUUUACCAGUAGAAAUAAAUUGUGCCAUCAGCAAGAAUUUAGUACAGCAAACAUCAUUGUCCACCUUAUAAACUAGAAAGUUAAUGUGGAACACACUGAUUUCUAGACAGUAGUCAUUUGACCAGUAGGUAAGAGAUCAGUUAAGAGUUAAGGCAAGAAGAUAAAAUACAAGCAAACAAACAAAAGGAAAACACUGUAAGAAUGUCUGAGGAAAAGUUAUUUGGCUAGAUCUGUCAGAGAUUUUUGCAGCUCACAUUCAAACCCACCAGAGUGCAAUUACCAAAGAUCAGUCACACACGAUAAGAUGGCCUUAUGCAGAAGAGUGAAAUUAGAGCCAUCGCUAUCACCUUGCACAAAAUUUAAGGACAAAUGGCCCAAAGACCUCAAUUUGAAACCUGAAACACUGAACUUAUAGAAGAAAAUACAGGUAGUAUCCUCCAAGAUAUAGUUGCAGGAAAAGACUUUCUGAACAGGACUCCACUUGCCCAGGAAUUAAGGCCAUCAACUGGGCAGUGGAACAUAAUAUAACUGAAAAGCUUCUGCACAGCUAAAGAAUUAAGCCAGCAAAGAAGAGAUUCAUAGAGUAGGGGAGAAUCUUUCCCACAUAUCCAUCUGAUAGGGGAAUAAUAUCCAGAAUAUUAAGACAAAUAAUGAAGCAAAUAAAAGACCCAAUUAAAAAACAGGUCAUGUAUCUGAAUAGAGAAUUCCCAAAAUAAAUUAAAAUGCCCAAAAAACAUCUCAUAAAACUUUCAUCUUUGGAAGCAAUUAGGGCAAUAAAAAUCACAACUACUUUGAGAUUUCAUCUCACACAGGUCAGAAUGACGAGGACCUACAAAACAAAACAACCUAAAACACAUGCUGGAGAAGAUAUGUGGAAAGAGGAACUCCUAUUCACUGUUGGCAGAAUUGCAACCUGGUGCAGCCAGUCUGGGAAAUCAGUGUGGAGAUCUCUCCAAAAGCUAAAAUUAAAUAUGCCACAUAAGCCAUUUGUACCACUCCUUGGCAUAUGGCCCAAGGAACUUGAUUUCCAACUUAAAAGAUACUUGCUCAAACAUGCUCAUUACCCCUCUAUUCAUAGUGUCUAGGAAAUUGAAACAACCUAAUUUCCUUUAACUGAUGGAUGCAUAAUGAAAAUGUGUUACACACACAUACACACACACACACACACACACACACACACACACACACACAAUGGAAUAUUAUACAACUGGAAAGAAAAAUGAACCUGUGACUUUUGUAGGUGAAUACAUUGAACCGGAGCAAUUAUAGUGAAUGAUGUGAUGUCAGAUUUUUAAGAAGCAAUAAUAUCUCACAGUACGCUUCCUAAUAUGUUAAAUUGUAGCUUAUGCUGAGUGAGCUCAUGUCUGUGAAUUCCCUUCUUUGGGCUGUCUCACUCCAUUCUAGCUUACCAUCCUCUACUUACAAGCUUCUGCUGCCAUGGUUCCCAAGCUCCUGUUCCCACACAGUAACCAAAUAGGAGUAUGUCAUUGCCUAUAUCUGAGCAUUAUUUCUCUAAGACCCAACCAUAAUAAUCAACAUUUUGUCGAAUAGCUUCAGAGUGGAUGAUAAUGGAUGGAAAAGUACAGUAAGGGCAGCCAGUACUGUCAUACAGAAGGUCUACCAUUGUCUCAGAAGGAAAUGGUAGCCCAUGAGAUUUUAAUAGGUUUGUAUCUUAUACAAAAACAAAUUAUCCUUCACAGUAGCAAGGCCUUGAAAGUUGUAAAUCAAUCAUACUGGUUAGUUAUUGUCAAGCUGACACAAUCUGGGAAGAGAAAACUUCUAUUACAGAAUCACCACCAUCACAUUGGACUGAUUACUAAUGGGUGUGGGAGAGCUCAAAUCACUGUCAAAAGUACAAUGAGCUGGAUAAAAGUGCAAGCAGAUGAGCUUAGGUGUAUAAGGAAGGUGACUGAGCAAGUCACAGUGAGCAAGCCGGUGAGCAGCAUUCAUCUGUGGUUUCUGCUUCAAGCUCCUGCACUGGCUUUUUUCCAAGAUAGCAUAAAACUUAUAAGAUAAAAUAAACUCUUUCUUCCUGAA